GCUUAGUGGUAUCUUUAUACUUGUAUUUGUAUAGUAGAAUGAUCGAAUGCGGCAAAAUUUCCAUAUCAUGUUAUAUAACAAACAGAAUGUGGCAUUUUAAACUCAUCACAUUCCAGAUUUAAAUUUUGUACACAAGUUGCCUGUCUCAUCUGCAAAAAAAACUUCAUCAGUGCACUCAAUUCAAAAAUGUUAAAAAUUCGCUUUUAGCAACC
This 212-nucleotide long non-coding RNA is filed under the name Mytilus galloprovincialis (Mediterranean mussel). Lineage: Eukaryota; Metazoa; Mollusca; Bivalvia; Mytilida; Mytilidae. The record is from RNAcentral.